This 497-nucleotide ribosomal RNA is filed under the name uncultured bacterium. RNAcentral describes it as "partial 16S ribosomal RNA". It matches the Rfam family "Bacterial small subunit ribosomal RNA", at positions 28 to 507 of the family's 1533-position model. The record is from RNAcentral.
GAUGAACGCUGGCGACGUGCCUAAUACAUGCAAGUCGAGCGAACAGAUAAGGAGCUUGCUCCUUUGACGUUAGCGGCGGACGGGUGAGUAACACGUGGGUAACCUACCUAUAAGACUGGGAUAACUUCGGGAAACCGGAGCUAAUACCGGAUAAUAUUUCGAACCGCAUGGUUCGAUAGUGAAAGAUGGUUUUGCUAUCACUUAUAGAUGGACCCGCGCCGUAUUAGCUAGUUGGUAAGGUAACGGCUUACCAAGGCGACGAUACGUAGCCGACCUGAGAGGGUGAUCGGCCACACUGGAACUGAGACACGGUCCAGACUCCUACGGGAGGCAGCAGUAGGGAAUCUUCCGCAAUGGGCGAAAGCCUGACGGAGCAACGCCGCGUGAGUGAUGAAGGUCUUCGGAUCGUAAAACUCUGUUAUUAGGGAAGAACAUACGUGUAAGUAACUGUGCACGUCUUGACGGUACCUAAUCAGAAAGCCACGGCUAACUAGGUG